GACGAACGCUGGCGGCGCGCUUAACACAUGCCAGUCGAACGGAAAGGCCCUGCUUUUGUGGCGUGCUCGAGUGGCGAACGCGUGAGUAACACGUGAGUAACCUGCCCCUGCCUUUGGGAUACCUUCAGGAAACCGGGGCUAAUACCGGAUAGGAGCUCCUGCUGCAUGGUGGGGGUUGGAACGUUUCGGCGGUUGGGGAUGGACUCGCGGCUUAUCAGCUUGUUGGUGGGGUAGUGGCUUACCAAGGCUUUGCCGGGUAGCCGGCCUGAGAGGGUGACCGGCCACAUGGGGACUGAGAUGCGGCCCAGACUGCUACGGGAGGCAGCAGUGGGGAACAUUGCACAAUGGGCGGAAGCCUGAUGCAGCAACGCCGCGUGCGGGAUGACGGCCUUCGGGUGUUAAACCGCUUUCGCCUGUGACGAAGCGUGAGUGACGGUAAUGGGUAAAGAAGCACCGGCUAACUACGUG
Molecule: ribosomal RNA, 468 nt
Filed under: uncultured bacterium
Lineage: Bacteria
Description: partial 16S ribosomal RNA
Rfam family: Bacterial small subunit ribosomal RNA
Source: RNAcentral